AAGUCGUAACAAGGUUUCCGUAGGUGAACCUGCGGAAGGAUCAUUAACGUGCCUUCGGGACGGCCCGGUUCCGGUAUACCGGGAUCGGGUCCGCACCGAAUCUGGCCCCACCCGUGUUUACCUGACUCUGUUGCCUUGGCGGGCCCGUUCGGCCUCACGGCCCGACCGCCGGGGGCUUUAUCGCCCCUGGUCAGCGCCCGCCGAUGGCCUUAACUGAACUCUUAACUGAAGUGAUUGAACGUCUGAGUUUUUAUUGAAAAAUAAGCAAAACUUUCAACAACGGAUCUCUUGGUUCCGGCAUCGAUGAAGAACGCAGCGAAAUGCGAUAAGUAAUGUGAAUUGCAGAAUUCCGUGAAUCAUCGAAUCUUUGAACGCACAUUGCGCCCUCUGGUAUUCCGGAGGGCAUGCCUGUCCGAGCGUCAUUUCAACCCCCUCAAGCCCGGCUUGUGUGUUGAGCGGCGGCCCCUUGUUUCAUCGAGGGGCCGGCUCCAAACGCAGUGGCAGCGCCGCUAUAUAAGGGUGACUGAGCACAUGGGAAAAGGAUAUUCCUCUAAUCUUUGUGUUUGUUAAAGUCCCCGGUGGCCGCUUGCCCCCCCCGUGGGUGGGAAAACUCGGUACCGUUAACCCGGGCCCGAAAUGACCCGCCUACUAUUUUUUUAGGUUGACCUCGGAUCAGGUAGGGAUACCCGCUGAACUUA
RNAcentral lists this ribosomal RNA (698 nucleotides) under uncultured fungus. RNAcentral's name for it is "eukaryotic LSU rRNA". The stretch from base 269 to 422 matches the Rfam family "5.8S ribosomal RNA". Lineage: Eukaryota; Fungi. The record is from RNAcentral.